Molecule: ribosomal RNA, 566 nt
Filed under: marine bacterium SIMO-4435
Lineage: Bacteria
Description: bacterial SSU rRNA
Rfam family: Bacterial small subunit ribosomal RNA
Source: RNAcentral
ACGAGCGGCGGACGGGUGAGUAAUGCUUGGGAACAUGCCUUGAGGUGGGGGACAACAGUUGGAAACGACUGCUAAUACCGCAUAAUGUCUACGGACCAAAGGGGGCUUCGGCUCUCGCCUUUAGAUUGGCCCAAGUGGGAUUAGCUAGUUGGUGAGGUAAUGGCUCACCAAGGCGACGAUCCCUAGCUGGUUUGAGAGGAUGAUCAGCCACACUGGGACUGAGACACGGCCCAGACUCCUACGGGAGGCAGCAGUGGGGAAUAUUGCACAAUGGGCGCAAGCCUGAUGCAGCCAUGCCGCGUGUGUGAAGAAGGCCUUCGGGUUGUAAAGCACUUUCAGUCAGGAGGAAAGGUUAGUAGUUAAUACCUGCUAGCUGUGACGUUACUGACAGAAGAAGCACCGGCUAACUCCGUGCCAGCAGCCGCGGUAAUACGGAGGGUGCGAGCGUUAAUCGGAAUUACUGGGCGUAAAGCGUACGCAGGCGGUUUGUUAAGCGAGAUGUGAAAGCCCCGGGCUCAACCUGGGAACUGCAUUUCGAACUGGCAAACUAGAGUGUGAUAGAGGGU